GCAGGACAUCAUUAUGACAUAUAUUGAUUUGUGAUAUAAAACAUUUCAUUUAUGAUAAGAUGUUUCAAGGUAUAUUUUUUUUUUUUGAUUCAUGCAAAUGUUCACACCACUCUGAUGUAAGAGCAGUCCAGAAAAUAAGAGCGCAAAAGAUCCCGCAGGCCGACGGACAGCUCUCAUCUUAUCACCAAACCUAGUCUCUAGAGUGCUCUGCUACAUACGAUUCAACUCAAUCUGCUACGCUGUUCACCUCUCAGUAGACAUACCACAC
Molecule: long non-coding RNA, 268 nt
Filed under: Elaeis guineensis (African oil palm)
Lineage: Eukaryota; Viridiplantae; Streptophyta; Magnoliopsida; Arecales; Arecaceae
Description: long non-coding RNA (EGUI_LNC006167)
Source: RNAcentral